UGGGGAAUAUUGCACAAUGGGCGCAAGCCUGAUGCAGCCAUGCCGCGUGUGUGAAGAAGGCCUUCGGGUUGUAAAGCACUUUCAGCGGGGAGGAAGGCGAUAAGGUUAAUAACCUUGUCGAUUGACGUUACCCGCAGAAGAAGCACCGGCUAACUCCGUGCCAGCAGCCGCGGUAAUACGGAGGGUGCAAGCGUUAAUCGGAAUUACUGGGCGUAAAGCGCACGCAGGCGGUCUGUCAAGUCGGAUGUGAAAUCCCCGGGCUUAACCUGGGAACUGCAUUCGAAACUGGCAGGCUAGAGUCUUGUAGAGGGGGGUAGAAUUCCAGGUGUAGCGGUGAAAUGCGUAGAGAUCUGGAGGAAUACCGGUGGCGAAGGCAGCCCCCUGGACGAAGACUGACGCUCAGGUGCGAAAGCGUGGGGAGCAAACAGG
This 429-nucleotide ribosomal RNA is filed under the name Chloroflexota bacterium. RNAcentral describes it as "Chloroflexi bacterium partial 16S ribosomal RNA". It matches the Rfam family "Bacterial small subunit ribosomal RNA", at positions 355 to 776 of the family's 1533-position model. Lineage: Bacteria; Bacillati; Chloroflexota. The record is from RNAcentral.